Molecule: ribosomal RNA, 460 nt
Filed under: uncultured Bacteroidota bacterium
Lineage: Bacteria; Pseudomonadati; Bacteroidota
Description: bacterial SSU rRNA
Rfam family: Bacterial small subunit ribosomal RNA
Source: RNAcentral
CCUACGGGGGGCUGCAGUAAGGAAUAUUGGACAAUGGCCGCAAGGCUGAUCCAGCCAUGCCGCGUGAAGGAUGAAGGUGCUAUGCAUUGUAAACUUCUUUUGUCCCGGAAUAAACCCCUGAUUUCUAUCGGGGCUGAAUGUACGGGAAGAAUAAGGGACGGCUAACUUCGUGCCAGCAGCCGCGGUAAUACGAAGGUCCCAAGCGUUAUCCGGAUUUAUUGGGUUUAAAGGGUGCGUAGGCGGGUUGUUAAGUCAGUGGUGAAAGCCUACAGCUCAACUGUAGAAUUGCCAUUGAUACUGACGAUCUUGAGUAUGGUUGAGGAGGGCGGAAUGUGUCAUGUAGCGGUGAAAUGCUUAGAUAUGACACAGAACACCGAUUGCGAAGGCAGCUCUCUAAGCCAAUACUGACGCUGAUGCACGAAAGCGUGGGGAGCAAACAGGAUUAGAUACCCCAGUAGUC